UCCCUGGUGGUCCAGUGGUUAAGACUCCACACUUCCACUGUAGAAGGCACAAGUUCGAUCCCUGGUCGGGGAA
Molecule: non-coding RNA, 73 nt
Organism: Bos taurus (domestic cattle)
Lineage: Eukaryota; Metazoa; Chordata; Mammalia; Artiodactyla; Bovidae
Source: Rfam